AAAGGUGGAAUUAGGUCUGUUUUUAUUCAUAAAUAACUGGAGUUGAAGCUAAAAAUUUUUAGAUUUAAACUAGGAUUAGAUACCCUACUAUACUAAAGAGUAAAGAGAGUGAACCAGAUUAUUAAUAGAUAUGUUCUUUAAAUUUAAAGAAUUUGGCGGUGAUUUAGUCUUGUCAGAGGAACCUGUUUUUGAAUCGAUAAUCCACGUGGGAUCUUACUUGAGUUUAUAUACCGUCAUUAACAGACAAUUUUUAAAGAAUAAAUUGUUAAAAUUUAUAAUGUUAAAGAAAAUUAGAUCAAGGUGUAGCUUAUGGACAAGUUAAAAUGGGUUACAAUAAAUUAUAUUUAUGAACGGAAUAAUUAUUAAUAAGGAGGAUUUGAUUGUAUAUAAGUUUAAUAUGCUUAGGAGAGAUAAGCUCUAAAUCAUGUACAUAUCGCCCGUCGCUUUC
Molecule: ribosomal RNA, 448 nt
Filed under: Eriphia smithii
Lineage: Eukaryota; Metazoa; Arthropoda; Malacostraca; Decapoda; Eriphiidae
Description: partial 12S small subunit ribosomal RNA
Source: RNAcentral